RNAcentral lists this ribosomal RNA (607 nucleotides) under uncultured Spirochaeta sp. Its description in RNAcentral is "bacterial SSU rRNA". It matches the Rfam family "Bacterial small subunit ribosomal RNA", at positions 317 to 916 of the family's 1533-position model. The record is from RNAcentral. Lineage: Bacteria; Pseudomonadati; Spirochaetota; Spirochaetia; Spirochaetales; Spirochaetaceae.
AACAGUAUCUGCAGUCGAGAUUCCUACGGGAGGCAGCAGCUAAGAAUCUUCCGCAAUGGGCGAAAGCCUGACGGAGCGACGCCGCGUGGACGAAGAAGGCCGGAAGGUUGUAAAGUCCUUUUCCUGGGGGAGAAUAAUGCGGGGAGGGAAUGCCCUGCAGAUGACGUGAACCAGGGAAUAAGCCCCGGCUAAUUACGUGCCAGCAGCCGCGGUAACACGUAAGGGGCGAGCGUUGUUCGGAUUUAUUGGGCGUAAAGGGCGUGUAGGCGGUAGUGCAAGUCUGGUGUGAAAGGCCCCGGCUCAACCGGGGAAGCGCGCUGGAAACUGUGCUGCUAGAGUUUAGGAGGGGAAGCUGGAAUUCCUGGUGUAGGGGUGAAAUCUGUAGAGAUCAGGAAGAACACCGGAGGCGAAGGCGAGCUUCUGGCCAUAGACUGACGCUGAGGCGCGAAAGCGUGGGGAGCAAACAGGAUUAGAUACCCUGGUAGUCCACGCUGUAAACGAUGUGCACUAGGUGUUGGGGGUAUGAACUCUCGGUGCCGGAGCUAACGCGUUAAGUGCACCGCCUGGGGAGUACGCCGGCAACGGUAAAACUCAAAGGAAUUGACGG